GACGAACGCUGGCGGCGUGCUUAACACAUGCAAGUCGAACGGAAAGGCCCUGCUUUUGUGGGGUGCUCGAGUGGCGAACGGGUGAGUAACACGUGAGUAACCUGCCCUUGACUUUGGGAUAACUUCAGGAAACUGGGGCUAAUACCGGAUAGGAGCUCCUGCUGCAUGGUGGGGGUUGGAAAGUUUCGGCGGUUGGGGAUGGACUCGCGGCUUAUCAGCUUGUUGGUGGGGGAGUGGCUUACCAAGGCUUUGACGGGUAGCCGGCCUGAGAGGGUGACCGGCCACAUUGGGACUGAGAUACGGCCCAGACUCCUACGGGAGGCAGCAGUGGGGAAUCUUGCACAAUGGGCGGAAGCCUGAUGCAGCAACGCCGCGUGCGGGAUGACGGCCUUCGGGUUGUAAACCGCUUUCGCCUGUGACGAAGCGUGAGUGACGGUAAUGGGUAAAGAAGCACCGGCUAACUACGUG
This 468-nucleotide ribosomal RNA is filed under the name uncultured bacterium. Its description in RNAcentral is "partial 16S ribosomal RNA". It matches the Rfam family "Bacterial small subunit ribosomal RNA", at positions 28 to 507 of the family's 1533-position model. The record is from RNAcentral.